RNAcentral lists this long non-coding RNA (253 nucleotides) under Gossypium barbadense (sea-island cotton). Its description in RNAcentral is "long non-coding RNA (GBAR_LNC003334)". The record is from RNAcentral. Lineage: Eukaryota; Viridiplantae; Streptophyta; Magnoliopsida; Malvales; Malvaceae.
UUAACUUCUUUGGGGCUUUUGUUCUUCGAGUAGCCUCAUUCCAUCCCACUGCAUCUUUAGGGGUAUAGUAAUUGUUGCUUUGAUCCACUCCACUACAACUUCAGGGAGAUAAGAAUCGUAACUUUAACCUACUCUACUGCAACCUUAAGGGGAUAAGGUUUGUGGCUUCAAUAUGCUCCACUACAACUUCAGGGAGAUAAGAUUCGCCAUGGUAGAUUUGAUCCGACCUACUGCAACUUUAGAGGUAUAGGAU